UCUCAAACAGGAACAUGACCAUGACAUGUUCAUCAAGAUACAAACAAAAAGAAAGUUACUAAGAGCUACAUGCAAAGUCAAGAGCCUGUGGAAACUAAGUGAAGGAUACAGGUAGAAGAAUGGAAUGAAGGACAAACAGACAAGGAGAGAGGGGAGGAGACCGGGAGAAAGCAUCUGUCAAUGGAGAGAAAGAGAAGGACUUGAAACACUCCCUGAUCCUUCAGUCCCAGAGGUGUGAAGAACUCCUGGGAAAUGUAUUAUUCUGUUCUAUAAUUAUUUCACAUAUACAUCAAUUUCAUGGCUAUAUCCAGGUAAAUUAGGUAGCUAAUCUUAGAUUUUCUUUCCCCUGUUAUAGAAUAGGAACCACAUUCUGUCUCCACCUCUGGUGUCUUGCAUUGUCUAAUGUCAGAGAACAUUGUUCUGCAAUCUUAUUACCUCCUUCCUGUAACCUUUACCACAGGGGAUGAGUCACAAAUGACCAGCAGAGCAACUAAAUGAUAUUCAGUUUCAGGCUUUCCUUCGCUGACAGUCAUGUGACAGCUUGUUAGUCAUGAGAGAAGAUCUUAUGUCUUAAAAAAAAAAUUGUCACUUUAGGUACUACUAAACCCUUCCUUAGAAAGAAGGAAGAUAGACAAACUCUAUUCACAUUCCUGAUAUUCUUUUAUCAAAAGUACUUCUUGAAGAAUUCCUAGAUAGUUUCCCUCCACCAUCCCACUUUCUUCUCUGUCUCCCUCCCUGAUAUAAAUAAUGUCUCACCUGAAUUGGAUUUUCUAGAAGAUUGAGAACUCGAAGGAUGGGUAAAUUUUUAAUGUAUUCUAUUUCUCUCAGCUCAGCAAUCUGUUCAAUCAAAGAAAAAAAUUAUCAACAGACUAAAUGCACAAAGACAAUAGAAAACAUAAUACAAUAGAAGCCAGUUUGGGUCCUUUAAAUUCAACUUAUUUUAAAAAUUGCUCUGUCUAGCUUUUUAAUGAGAAUUCCACAGAACUUCACAGAACAAGGGAAUUAUUGCAUACCCCUUCUAUAACUGUGCAUGCACACAACCACGUUUUCUUUCUUCUUCUCUAGCUAGGGAACAGUAAGUUUCCUCCUCUUAUCCAUGUUCACUUUAAGGCAGAAAUAAAAUAGCAUUCAAAGUCAGAAAAACAGUACAAAAAUGCACCCAAGGAUGACCUGGUUACCCACCCCACCGCCAUUCCUAGCCUUCCAGCCCCCCAACUUCCUUCCCCAAUCCUGCUUCUGUUACCCUGGUCAUUUAUGACUGGUUAAAGCCUUUUUUUUUUUUUUUGCGAUGGAGUCUCGCUCUGUCACCAGGCUGGAGUGCAGUGCUGUGAUCUCGGCUCACUGCAACCUCCGACUCCCUGGUUCAAGUGAUUCUCCUGCCUCAGCCUCCUGAGUAGCUGAGAUUACAGGCACACACCACCAUGCCUAAAUAAUUUUUGCAUUUUUAGUAGAAACGGGGUUUCACCAUGCUGGCCAGGAUGGUCUUGAUCUCCUGACCUUGUGAUCCGCCUGCCACAGCCUCCCAAAGUUCUGGGAUUACAGGCAUGAGCCACCCGGCCAAAGCCUUCUUACUGCAUGUACAUAUAUGGCUUUAUCACUUUUUCCAACAGAGAAUUAUUUCAAGGUAAAAAACUAAAAAUUGUAUGACAUAUUUCUUGAUGGGUGUGUACUGUUCACCUUGAACUCUUUAGCUAACUUGUACACUUAUGUUUUAUAUACUUUUCUGUAUAGGUUGUGUUUCACCAUUUUAAAAAGUAGGAGAACAGAAAGAAAAAAAAAAGAUUGCUUGACAGUUCCUUAAUUUGACCAGAAAUAGAACUUGGAUUGCGGCAGGCCUGAAUUCUCUACUAAAUUAAAGGCAAAUAGGUUUACUUAAAUAUUCUGUAAUUAGCAUAAUUACAAUUUUAUCUCAAGUGUAGAUAUUACACUUUUGCAAAAAGUUAAUCAUCACUUUUUCAUUUCUAUUUUUCUCCAAUCAUUUCUGCAUGCAUUGGAAAGCACUCCUACAGAAGGGUCACCAAAAACUCCUGAGUUAUCCAACCACAAUACACAGCUAAAAUGCAAACUAGACCCAAAGCCAAGUCAGAGGACAAACAUAUGCACCAUGUUCAAAGGAUGCCAUUUUCAAAGAUACAAUAUGAAAGGUGAACACCAGAGUUGCAAUCUACAACCUGAACACAUUAAUCUUGUUAGAGCAACGUUAUACUAUUAUACACAUCUUUUUCCGUAAGAUGACUAAACUGUCCAUCAGUCUGCCAUUUGGAUUAUCUUUUUUUAAAAGGGAUCAAUUGUUUUCUAUUGUAUUAUUCAGGAAAGUGGAAAAGUAAACUUGUGAACAACGGAUUAAUUUCCUUCUAGCAUUCCAUCUGCUCUUAUUCUUUUUUAUUUAUUUAUUUAUUUAUUUUUGAGAUGGGUUCUUGCUCUGUCACCCAUGCUGGGGUGCAGUAGUAUGAUCAUGGCUCACUGCAGCCUCAACCUCCCUAGCUCAAGGAACCUUCCUACCUCAGCCCCCGACCCCCGAGUAGCUGGGACUACAAGUGUGCACUGCCAAGCCUAGCUAAUUUUUGUAUUUUUUUGGAGACAGGGUUUUGCCAUGUUGCUCAGGCUGUUCUUGAACUCCUGGGCUCAAGCAAUCCACCCACCUCGACUUCCCAUUCCCAAGUGCUAGGAUUACAGCCGUG
RNAcentral lists this long non-coding RNA (2681 nucleotides) under Homo sapiens (human). Its description in RNAcentral is "HSALNT0129328". The record is from RNAcentral. Lineage: Eukaryota; Metazoa; Chordata; Mammalia; Primates; Hominidae.